AGAGUUUGAUCCUGGCUCAGAGCGAACGCUGGCGGCAGGCUUAACACAUGCAAGUCGAGCGGGCGUAGCAAUACGUCAGCGGCAGACGGGUGAGUAACGCGUGGGAACAUACCUUUUGGUUCGGAACAACACAGGGAAACUUGUGCUAAUACCGGAUAAGCCCUUACGGGGAAAGAUUUAUCGCCGAAAGAUUGGCCCGCGUCUGAUUAGCUAGUUGGUGAGGUAACGGCUCACCAAGGCGACGAUCAGUAGCUGGUCUGAGAGGAUGAUCAGCCACAUUGGGACUGAGACACGGCCCAAACUCCUACGGGAGGCAGCAGUGGGGAAUAUUGGACAAUGGGCGCAAGCCUGAUCCAGCCAUGCCGCGUGAGUGAUGAAGGCCCUAGGGUUGUAAAGCUCUUUUGUGCGGGAAGAUAAUGACGGUACCGCAAGAAUAAGCCCCGGCUAACUUCGUGCCAGCAGCCGCGGUAAUACGAAGGGGGCUAGCGUUGCUCGGAAUCACUGGGCGUAAAGGGUGCGUAGGCGGGUUUUUAAGUCAGAGGUGAAAUCCUGGAGCUCAACUCCAGAACUGCCUUUGAUACUGAAGAUCUUGAGUUCGGGAGAGGUGAGUGGAACUGCGAGUGUAGAGGUGAAAUUCGUAGAUAUUCGCAAGAACACCAGUGGCGAAGGCGGCUCACUGGCCCGAUACUGACGCUGAGGCACGAAAGCGUGGGGAG
Molecule: ribosomal RNA, 716 nt
Filed under: uncultured bacterium
Lineage: Bacteria
Description: bacterial SSU rRNA
Rfam family: Bacterial small subunit ribosomal RNA
Source: RNAcentral